UAUAGGGUACACCUGGACUGAAUGGCAUUAAUGGGGAACCUGGACCAGAAGGAUUCUGUGGUGAACCUGGUGACCCAGGAAAUCAAGGAUCAAAAGGAGACCACGGAGAGAAAGGAGACAAAGGUGAUAAAGGUUAUGGAAUAAUUGGCUUAGAAGGAAAUCCAGGUCCAAGAGGUGAACGUGGCCAAAGUGGAUUUGCUUUUGAUGGGCUGCCAGGCCAGCCUGGCCCACGUGGAUAUCAUGGCCAGCCUGGUUUGAGAGGUUACCCAGGAUCUAGAGGAACACCAGGAUUAUGUAAAAGGGGGUGUGACUCUGUUUUUCCCAGCAGUGUUAACCAGGAGCCAGUGCACAAACUGUAAAGAGUUGCAUUCUUGGAAGCCUUUGAUGUGAAAAGAGGAAGAGGACUUUUACAGGAGAAGAAAGUGUUUAUUUCCUUUUAACAUGA
Molecule: long non-coding RNA, 445 nt
Organism: Heteronotia binoei (common prickly gecko)
Lineage: Eukaryota; Metazoa; Chordata; Lepidosauria; Squamata; Gekkonidae
Exons: 3
Source: RefSeq, a predicted model, not a curated record